Molecule: non-coding RNA, 2908 nt
Organism: Peromyscus maniculatus bairdii (prairie deer mouse)
Lineage: Eukaryota; Metazoa; Chordata; Mammalia; Rodentia; Cricetidae
Source: RefSeq, a predicted model, not a curated record
AGGCCCUUUAAAAACCCCAGAGCUGCGGCGCUGUGGGCAACCUUCCUGGGAAAUGUAGUCUCUGUGUGCAGUCUGCCUGCUACCCAGGCAGCUUCUCCGCGGGCCAGAAAAAGGGGGGCUCUGCUGCCUCUGGGGUUAGUGUGGCAGAGAAAUGAAACCCUGAGUGGGAAAUCCUGUCCAUCGAGCAGCCAACAUCUAGGCAAAUAUUUGAAGGAGGCAAGGAAAGAAGCUGUUCCUGUUACAAGAGGAGGAGUCUUCCCUUCAGAAGAAACAGCUGGCACCAAGGACGGGUGGCCGCGAUGUGCAGAGUGGCUGAAACAAGGACACCCCAAGGCAAGUCUCCUCAGGAAGCCUGGAGUGGCUAAAACUGCAAAGGUCUGCAACAAAGUGAGCCCUCCCCAGAAGUGUGGACCCAGCAAGGACACCAGGGGACACAGCUCCAAUCUCAGGAGAGGAUAAAGCAGAGGAGUCCAUCCGGAAGGACGGGAUUGCCCCUUGCCGCCUAGCCUGGACCCCCUCGUUGGAAAAGCCCACCCUCAGCCUGGCCCGUCCAGUCCAGCACUUCAUCUAGCCUCUCUCUGCCUUGCGGUGGGUGUCUUCACCGGUUCUCACUGGGGUUGGUUUUGCAUCCCCAAGGAGUACUUGACAGUGCUUGAAACAGAGGCGAAGUAAUUGCCCCCAAACCACACAGCUGCACUCCCAGGCCAGGCUGGCCGGACAGCGAACCGUUCAUCUGUCUUGUCAUCCCCCCCAGGUAUUAUGCUCUGGUGGGUAUUGCUAUUGUGGCUCUGUGACAGUGCUCAGAACGCACAGAACAGGACCACGGGAGGGCAUGACAGAUGCCAGGGAAGGCCCUGUCCCUGGUUUGAGAACGUGAAAAGAGAAUGUGGGUCGAAAGGUGAGCUGGCCGGGGCAUAUGGGGCUGGCUUUAAGUCAUGGUAAAUGACUUAGAAUUUGUUCACAGUGCACUGAGAACAUGGUGCAGGGAGAAUUUAAAAGAGUCGAUAAGCUUCAUAAAAUAAUACAAUUAUUUUGAGGUAAAAAUGUUAAAGUAUGACAUACAAAAUUAUCACAUACACUGUCCACAGACAAAGUAGAUCACAUUUGUACAAUUCUUAAACUAACAUGAAGCCAGACAGCCGAGUCCUGUCUGUAGUUAAAAUAAGAAACAUGCCGGUGGGGGAGAGAAUACACAGCAAGCCCAGGACAGCAAGGCUACAUAGAGAGACUAUGUUUCAAUUGCCGCUCCCCCCCCCCACUCCUCGCCCCCAUGCAAGCCCAAGGACCUGAGUUCAAGCCCUAGAACCCACUGUGGGAGGAGAGAACCAAUUCCAAAAAGUUGCUUUCUAAAAGCGGUCCCCUGACAUCCGCACACACAUACCUCAGCACGAACACCUCCCUAUGGGUAUAUUACACACAAUAAUGAAAAAAGAAACAUGGCAGGUCUCCCCCACAGGCCCCUGCCUGUGCUCACCACCAGGGAUAUAAAUAGCUUUUUGGUUUUUCCUUCUGGCUUAACCACAUCCCACGAGCUAAUCCUAUGCAAUAAUUACUUUUUCUUCUUUACUUUGGGGCCAAACAAAAACAAUCUGACCAUUUGUUUUUCGAUUUGUUUUGUUUUUUUGAGACUGGGACUUGUUUUGGGGGACAAGGUUUCUCUGUGUAGCCCUAGCUGUCCUGGAACCCUCUCUGUAGUCCAGUCUGGCCUCGAACUCACAGAGAUCUGCCUGCCUCUGCCUCCCAAGUGCUGGGAUUCAAGGUGUGCACCACCACCCCCAGGUGAGACUGGGACUGAUGCUUGAAACUCAGAUUGGCCCUGAGUUUUCAAUGUAGCCUAAAAUGACCUUGGCCUUCUGACCUUCAAGCUUCCGCAUCCUGGGAUUACAGGUCUGCACCAUCACACCUGCUUCACGCAAUGCUAGGGCUUGACCUCAGGACUUCAUGCACACUAGGCAAGCACAAAGCCCUCUUUUUAUGAUGAAUUUCUUAGUGGGGCUUCUUUUAGUCAAUGUUAUUGUUCUUACCAUUAAUGUUCUUUUUCAUUUGUUUGUUUGUUGGUUGGUUUUUUGAGUCAGGGUUUCUCUGUGUAAUAGCUCUGACUAUCCUGGAACUGGCUUUGUAGACCAGGUUGCCCUUGAACUCACAGAGAUCCACAUGCUUCUGCCUGGGAUCCAAGGUAUAUACCACCAAGCCCAGCUCAUUAAUGUUCUCUUGUGUCUUUGUUGAACUGGAAUUAGAGGCUGUUGUGAGCCUCCCUGGGAGGCCAGAAACUAAACUGGGGUUCUUCUCAAGAGCAGUGAGUGGGCUCUCUCUCCCCCUCAAAUCAAGAGAGAAGAGAGUGGAAAAGAGAUAAAGAAAGAGAAACAGGGGCUCAGGAGGUGACGUCAAGCUCUUACAUCCAAGCAUGAGGAUCUGAGUUCGAAUCCCCCAAACCCACGUAAAGCUACAUGAAAUAGUGUGUCUGUAACCCCAGCGCAUCUAUGAUGAGAUUGGAAACAGACAGGAGAACCCUCAGACAUUCCUGGGCCGGCCAGCCGGGCAUAGGAAGUGAUGAGGUGAUGAGCAGCCAGAGACUCUGACUCAAACGAGAUAGAAGGUGAGAACCAACGCCCAUAAGUGUCUAACCUUACACACUCCUAUUCACACACACACACACACACACACACACACACACACACACACACACACAAAACAAAACAAAACAGAGAGAGAAUGGACCCCUGAGGUGGGCUCAGCAGGUAAAGAUCCUUGCCUGAGGACCAGAGUUCAAGCCCUGGACUCCACAUGGAUGACAACGACGACAAUGACUACCACAGGCUUUCCUCAGACUGUCUCACAUCAGACUAUGGACCAUGUGCUCCCCCCGCUACACACACAAUAAAUAAAUAAAUAAAUAAAUAAAUGAAAA